This 897-nucleotide ribosomal RNA is filed under the name Coniochaeta cypraeaespora. Its description in RNAcentral is "partial large subunit ribosomal RNA". It matches the Rfam family "Eukaryotic large subunit ribosomal RNA", at positions 44 to 961 of the family's 3401-position model. The record is from RNAcentral. Lineage: Eukaryota; Fungi; Ascomycota; Sordariomycetes; Coniochaetales; Coniochaetaceae.
AAAUAAGCGGAGGAARAGAKACCARCAGGGAUUGCCCUUMGUUAACGGCGAAGUGAAGMGKCAACAGCUCAAAUUUGAAAUCUCGGCCUUCGGGUCCGAAGUUGUAAUUUGUAGAGGAUGCUUUUGGCGCGGUGCCUUCCGAGUUCCCUGGAACGGGACGCCUUAGAGGGUGAGAGCCCCGUACGGUUGGACACCAAGCCUCUGUAAAGCUCMUUCGWCGAGUCGAGUAGUUUGGGAAUGSUGCUCUAAAUGGGAGGUAAAUUUCUUCUAWAGCUAAAUAUUGGCCAGAGACCGAUAGCGCACAAGUAGAGUGAUCGAAAGAUGAAAAGCACUUUGAAAAGAGGGUUAAAUAGCACGUGAAAUUGUUGAAAGGGAAGMGUUUGCGACCAGACCUUUUCCUGGCGGAUCAUCCGGUGUUCUCACCGGUSCACUUCGCUAGGUUGAGGCCAGCAUCGGUUUCCGUAGGGGGAUAAAAGCUUGGGGAACGUAGCUCCUCCGGGAGUGUUAUAGCCCCUUGCAUAAUACCCUUACGGGGACCGAGGMCCGCGCUUSGGCAAGGAUGCWGGCGUAAUGGUCGUCAACGACCCGUCUUGAAACACGGACCAAGGAGUSGAACAUUUGUGYGAGUGUKUGGGUGUCAAACCCUCMCGCGUAAUGAAAGUGAACGGAGGUGAGAGCCCUUWYGGGUGCAUCAUCGACCGAUCCUGAUGUCUUCGGAUGGAUUUGAGUAAGAGCAUAACUGUUSGGACCCGAAAGAUGGUGAACUAUGCGUGGAUAGGGUGAAGCCAGAGGAAACUCUGGUGGAGGCUCGCAGCGGUUCUGACGUGCAAAUCGAUCGUCAAAUCUUGCGCAUGGGGGGCGAAAGACUUAUCGAACCAUCCAGUAGCUGGUACCGCG